GUCUACGACCAUACCACCCUGAAUGCGCCCAAUCUCGUCUGAUCUUGGAAGCUAAGCAGGGUCAAGCUGGGUAGUACUUGGAUGGGAGAACUAUUUUGCAAAUCAAAUAUAUAUAUA
This is a ribosomal RNA of Neogale vison (American mink), 117 nucleotides long. NCBI's taxonomy places the organism in Eukaryota, Metazoa, Chordata, Mammalia, Carnivora, Mustelidae. The record is from Ensembl.